Long non-coding RNA from Alnus glutinosa, 766 nucleotides. RefSeq lists it as uncharacterized. The transcript has 3 exons. NCBI's taxonomy places the organism in Eukaryota, Viridiplantae, Streptophyta, Magnoliopsida, Fagales, Betulaceae. The record is from RefSeq and is a predicted model, not a curated record.
CUUCUUCCUUUCCUUUUCCCUUUUCUCUCUUUUCUUUCCCUUUCUCACGCAUGCAUAGCAGCCCCUCACCCUUUCUUUUCUCUUCUUUCUUCUUUCCUACUCGGUGCAGCAUCCGAUUGCCUUCCCUUUUUCCCGUUCAUUUCCCCCUUUCUCUUCUAUCACACAUGCACAUGGAGAUCGAGAGAGAGACUCGAUCUUUCCGAGCCAGAUGUUGCCGGAGAAGCAAAUAGGAGGCGAUUUAAGGUGGUUCUUGACCCGAUUUCCCGAUGGGUUUCCGAUGGGUGAUGCCGACGAAGUUGACGCGCGAUCUCGGUGGACUGAGGUGCGUUUUCCAGCAAUCUUCAAGGGGGAUCGCCCACUGUUGAUUCUACCGUUCUUCUCGGCACGUGUCAUGAUUGGAGACUUCAACUUGUUCUCCAAUGUAGAGUUCAAGUAAAUAGAACACGGGGAGUAUUUGAGUCAUAAGUCCUAUGCAGCCAAGAUGACGUUCCUUUGGUUGCAGGUAUUCCGGUCGUAGUUGAUGGCGUUGUAGAAGUGUACUUGGGAUAUUAUGACUGAAGCUCGCCGCGAUGGUCAUAGUUGUGGGACUAUAGGCGUCCUUUAAUUUAUAGGUUUGGUAUAUGUCAUGUGACGCUUGUGUCACAUAAUAUUUGUAAAGCCAUUCUUUGAUGCAAUUAUUAUUUGGAUAAGCCUUAAACAGAUAGACAGUACGGCUCUUUUUGUGUAAAUAUCAGUUUAUGUUUAUAGAUGUGACUUCUGCUUUUCA